RNAcentral lists this ribosomal RNA (301 nucleotides) under uncultured bacterium. RNAcentral describes it as "partial 16S ribosomal RNA". It matches the Rfam family "Bacterial small subunit ribosomal RNA", at positions 509 to 808 of the family's 1533-position model. The record is from RNAcentral.
CAGCAGCCGCGGUAAUACAGAGGAUGCAAGCGUUAUCCGGAAUGAUUGGGCGUAAAGCGUCUGUAGGUGGCUUCUCAAGUCCGCCGUCAAAUCCCAGGGCUCAACCCUGGACAGGCGGUGGAAACUACCAAGCUGGAGUACGGUAGGGGCAGAGGGAAUUUCCGGUGGGGCGGUGAAAUGCGUUGAGAUCGGAAAGAACACCAACGCGAAAGCACUCUGCUGGGCCGACACUGACACUGAGAGACGAAAGCUAGGGGAGCAAAUGGGAUUAGAUACCCGCGUAGUCCCUGUCUCUUAUACA